Molecule: ribosomal RNA, 463 nt
Filed under: uncultured bacterium
Lineage: Bacteria
Description: partial 16S ribosomal RNA
Rfam family: Bacterial small subunit ribosomal RNA
Source: RNAcentral
GACGAACGCUGGCGGCGUGCUUAACACGUGCAAGUCGAACGGAAAGGCCCUGCUUGCAGGGUACUCGAGUGGCGAACGGGUGAGUAACACGUGGGUGAUCUGCCCUGCACUUCGGGAUAAGCCUGGGAAACUGGGUCUAAUACCGGAUAGGAGCCAUUUUUAGUGUGAUGGUUGGAAAGUUUUUUCGGUGUAGGAUGAGCUCGCGGCCUAUCAGCUUGUUGGUGGGGUAAUGGCCUACCAAGGCGGCGACGGGUAGCCGGCCUGAGAGGGUGGACGGCCACAUUGGGACUGAGAUACGGCCCAGACUCCUACGGGAGGCAGCAGUGGGGAAUAUUGCACAAUGGGCGCAAGCCUGAUGCAGCGACGCCGCGUGGGGGAUGACGGCCUUCGGGUUGUAAACUCCUUUCGCUAGGGACGAAGCUUUUGUGACGGUACCUAGAUAAGAAGCACCGGCGAACUACGU